Ananas comosus (pineapple) is the source of this 472-nucleotide long non-coding RNA. RefSeq lists it as uncharacterized. The record is from RefSeq and is a predicted model, not a curated record. Lineage: Eukaryota; Viridiplantae; Streptophyta; Magnoliopsida; Poales; Bromeliaceae. The transcript is spliced from 2 exons.
AUUGCACAAGGAAUUAACCUUCCCCACUUAAGAUGUGAGAAGGUCCCAUGUGCUACUAAAGUGGUCACUCAUCCUAUCCUUUCUCUUCUUUUUCUCCCCCACUCUUCUUUUCUCCCUUCUUGGAACCCACAAAAGACAAUAUACCAAGAUAAGAAAGAGAGAGAGAGAGAGAGAGAGAGAGAGAGAGAGAGAGAGAAUGGAUCCACCCUCUUCCCAAGCAAUGUCAAGCUCAGAUGAUCUUCAAGAUAGAGCAAUCAAUGAAUGAUUUUUGCCAAAGCACUUCUGAUGCUGCUGUUCUCAUGAUCCAUCUCCUGAUCAUUGACAAUUAGUAGGACAAGUGUUUUGAUCAUGAGGAUCUGAAAAAGUGCAUGUCACAAGCUGUUCCAAAUUAACUGCUUAUUAAUGAUCCUGUGGAGUUAUGAUCAAUUGUAACCUCAAAAGUGUGAAAAGAUUACUUGGUUUCUUUCUUUCU